CCUACGGGAGGCAGCAGUGGGGAAUUUUGGACAAUGGGCGAAAGCCUGAUCCAGCAAUGCCGCGUGAGUGAAGAAGGCCUUCGGGUUGUAAAGCUCUUUUGUCAGGGAAGAAACGGUGUUUUCUAAUACAGAAUGCUAAUGACGGUACCUGAAGAAUAAGCACCGGCUAACUACGUGCCAGCAGCCGCGGUAAUACGUAGGGUGCAAGCGUUAAUCGGAAUUACUGGGCGUAAAGCGUGCGCAGGCGGUUUUGUAAGUCUGACGUGAAAUCCCCGGGCUCAACCUGGGAAUUGCGUUGGAGACUGCAAGGCUAGAGUUUGGCAGAGGGGGGUAGAAUUCCACGUGUAGCAGUGAAAUGCGUAGAUAUGUGGAGGAACACCGAUGGCGAAGGCAGCCCCCUGGGUCAAGACUGACGCUCAUGCACGAAAGCGUGGGGAGCAAACAGGAUUAGAUACCCUGGUAGUCCACGCCCUAAACGAUGUCUACUAGUUGUCGGGUCUUAAUUGACUUGGUAACGCAGCUACGCGUGAGUAGACCGCCGUCGGGAGGUACGGUCGCGAGAUAAACUAACGAAGAAGUAGACGGCGUGAGAGUGCCGACGGACGACGACGACGGGAGGAGG
Molecule: ribosomal RNA, 622 nt
Filed under: uncultured bacterium
Lineage: Bacteria
Description: bacterial SSU rRNA
Rfam family: Bacterial small subunit ribosomal RNA (bases 1-540)
Source: RNAcentral